GAGGGUGCGAGCGUUAAUCGGAAUUACUGGGCGUAAAGCGUGCGUAGACGGUUAUUUAAGUCGGGUGUGAAAGCCCCGGGCUCAACCUGGGAAUUGCAUUCGAGACUGAAUAGCUAGGGUACGGUAGAGGGAAGCGGAAUUUCCGGUGUAGCGGUGAAAUGCGUAGAUAUCGGAAGGAACAUCAGUGGCGAAAGCGGCUUCCUGGACCAGUACCGACGUUCAGGCACGAAAGCGUGGGGAGCAAACAGGAUUAGAUACCCUGGUAGUCCACGCCAUAAACGAUGAGGACUAGACGUUGGAGGGGUAAGCCUUUCAGUGUCGUAGCUAACGCGCUAAGUCCUCCGCCUGGGGAGUACGGCCGCAAGGUUG
Molecule: ribosomal RNA, 369 nt
Filed under: uncultured organism
Description: bacterial SSU rRNA
Rfam family: Bacterial small subunit ribosomal RNA
Source: RNAcentral